UACGUAGGUGGCAAGCGUUGUCCGGAAUUAUUGGGCGUAAAGCGCGCGCAGGCGGUCCUUUAAGUCUGAUGUGAAAGCCCACGGCUCAACCGUGGAGGGUCAUUGGAAACUGGGGGACUUGAGUACAGAAGAGGAAAGCGGAAUUCCACGUGUAGCGGUGAAAUGCGUAGAUAUCUGGAGGAACACCGGUGGCGAAGGCGGCGUUCUGGACUGCAACUGACACUGAGGAACGAAAGCCAGGGGAGCAAACGGG
Molecule: ribosomal RNA, 253 nt
Filed under: uncultured bacterium
Lineage: Bacteria
Description: partial 16S ribosomal RNA
Rfam family: Bacterial small subunit ribosomal RNA
Source: RNAcentral